Molecule: non-coding RNA, 986 nt
Filed under: Rigidipenna inexpectata
Lineage: Eukaryota; Metazoa; Chordata; Aves; Caprimulgiformes; Podargidae
Description: 12S ribosomal RNA
Rfam family: Bacterial small subunit ribosomal RNA
Source: RNAcentral
AAAAGACUCAGUCCUAACCUUACCGUUAAUUCUUGCUAAAAAUAUACAUGCAAGUAUCCGCACCCCAGUGUAAAUGCCCCCAACCUCUCCUAGAGCAAAAGGAGCAGACAUCAGGCACACCCACAGCCGUAGCCUAAGACGUCUUGCCCAGCCACACCCCCACGGGUACUCAGCAGUAAUUAACAUUAAGCAAUAAGUGCAAACUUGACUCAGUUAUAGCAACAUCCAGGGUUGGUAAAUCUUGUGCCAGCCACCGCGGCCAUACAAGAAACCCAAAUUAACCGUAACCGGCGUAAAGAGUGGUACUGCAUUAUCAAAUUAUUUAGGACCAAAACACAUCCCAGCCGUCAUAAACCCAAGAUGUCUAUAAGACCAUCCCCCGACCCUAAUCCUUACGAUCAAUCAAACCCCACGAAAGCUAAGACACAAACUGGGAUUAGAUACCCCACUAUGCCUAGCCCUAAAUCCCAGUACUUCCCUUUCCCCACCAAAGUACUCGCCCGAGAACUACGAGCAUAAACGCUUAAAACUCUAAGGACUUGGCGGUGCCCCAAACCCACCUAGAGGAGCCUGUUCUAUAAUCGAUAACCCACGAUAAACCCAACCACCCCUUGCCAAGCCAGCCUACAUACCGCCGUCGCCAGCUCACCUUCCAUUGAAAGUACAACAGUGAACAUAACAGCCCUAACCCGCUAACAAGACAGGUCAAGGUAUAGCCCACGGGGUGGAAGAAAUGGGCUACAUUUUCUAACAUAGACAACCCACGAAAAGAGAUAUGAAACCAUCUCUAGAAGGCGGAUUUAGCAGUAAAGCGGGAUAAUCUAAAGCCCUCUUUAAACCGGCUCUGGUGCACGUACAUACCGCCCGUCACCCUCCUCACAAGCCCUCCAUUACCCUCACCCAAUAAAUAAUACACCCCUUCCCCUAUCAAAGAUGAGGCAAGUCGUAACAAGGUAAGUGUACCGGAAGGUGCACUUAGCAUACAC